GUUCGAGGAGUUACCUCCCUUCUUUGCAAUUUGACAAGGCAAUACAUUCGUUUUCCGUCAGUUCCUGAAAUUGCCGAGAAACGUACAAAAUUUUACGGUUUAGCAGGCUUUCCGAAUGUGGUUUGCUGUGUCGACGGUACUUUGAUCCGUAUUAGAUGUCCAUUGCAAAAUGAGGCUGAGUUUGUUUGCAGGAAAGGAUACUACGCUUUAAAUGUUCAGAUGGCUUGUGAUGCAUCUUUCCGUUUCGUAAAUUGUGUUGCAAAAUGGCCUGGGAGCGUUCAUGACUCGCGUGUUUUUAAAGAGUCGUCUCUUGCAAGAUUGUUUGAGACUGGUAAGAAGUAAUGUGAUAAGAAUAAUUUAACUAUUAAUAAUGAGUUUGACAUUGACA
Saccostrea cuccullata (small rock oyster) is the source of this 388-nucleotide long non-coding RNA. RefSeq lists it as uncharacterized. The transcript is spliced from 3 exons. The record is from RefSeq and is a predicted model, not a curated record. Lineage: Eukaryota; Metazoa; Mollusca; Bivalvia; Ostreida; Ostreidae.